UUAUCGUUUACUUGAUAGUGCCUUACUACUUGGAUAACCGUGGUAAUUCUAGAGCUAAUACAUGCUAAAAGACCCGACGCUUGAAGGGUUGUAUUUAUUAGAUUAAAAACCAAUGCCCUCUGGGCUCCCUGGUGAAUCAUGAUAACUGCACGAAUCGCAUGGCCUUGCGCCGGCGAUGGCUCAUUCAAAUUUCUUCCCUAUCAACUUUCGAUGUUUGGAUAGAGGCCAAACAUGGUUGCAACGGGUAACGGAGGGUUAGGGCUCGACCCCGGAGAAGGAGCCUGAGAAACGGCUACUACAUCCAAGGAAGGCAGCAGGCGCGCAAAUUACCCAAUCCCGACACGGGGAGGUAGUGACAAUAAAUACUGAUACAGGGCUCUUUUGGGUCUUGUAAUUGGAAUGAGUACAAUUUAAAUCCCUUAACGAGGAACAAUUAGAGGGCAAGUCUGGUGCCAGCAGCCGCGGUAAUUCCAGCUCUAAUAGCGUAUAUUAAAGUUGUUGUGGUUAAAAAGCUCGUAGUUGAACCUUGGGCCUGGCUGGCCGGUCCGCCUCACCGCGUGCACUUGGCCGGCCGGGCCUUUCCCGCUGUGGAACCCUAUGCCCUUCACUGGGUGUAGCGGGGAAACAGAACUUUUACUUUGAAAAAAUUAGAGUGCUCCAGGCAGGCCUAUGCUCGAAUACAUUAGCAUGGAAUAAUAAAAUAGGACGCGCGGUUCUAUUUUGUUGGUUUCUAGGACCGCCGUAAUGAUUAAUAGGGACAGUCGGGGGCAUCAGUAUUCAGUUGUCAGAGGUGAAAUUCUUGGAUUUACUGAAGACUAACUACUGCGAAAGCAUUUGCCAAGGAUGUUUUCAUUAAUCAGGAACGAAAGUUAGGGGAUCGAAGACGAUCAGAUACCGUCGUAGUCUUAACCAUAAACUAUGCCGACUAGGGAUCGGACGAUGUUAUUACUUGACUCGUUCGGCACCUUGCGAGAAAUCAAAGUGCUUGGGCUCCAGGGGGAGUAUGGUCGCAAGGCUGAAACU
RNAcentral lists this ribosomal RNA (1023 nucleotides) under Ophiocordyceps lloydii. RNAcentral describes it as "SSU rRNA". It matches the Rfam family "Eukaryotic small subunit ribosomal RNA", at positions 110 to 1144 of the family's 1831-position model. The record is from RNAcentral. Lineage: Eukaryota; Fungi; Ascomycota; Sordariomycetes; Hypocreales; Ophiocordycipitaceae.